GAAACGCGAUAAGUAAUGUGAAUAACAGAAUUCAGUGAAUCAUCGAAUCUUUGAACGCACAUCGCGCCUUCCAGUAUCCUGGGAAGCAUGCCGAUCCUAGCGUCGUUUCAACCCUCGAGCCCCCGUGGCCCGGCGUUGGGGAUCUGCCCAGGCAGGCCCCGAAAACCAGUGGCGGACCCGUUACAGGCCCUUCCUUUGCGUAGUAAUACUGCCUCGCAUCGGGAGCCGGCGGGCUUCCAGCCUCUAAACCCCCAGCAAGUCCGCACCGGCGGCACCAAGGUUGACCUCGGAUCAGGUAGGAAUACCCGCUAAACUUAA
RNAcentral lists this unclassified non-coding RNA (318 nucleotides) under uncultured Hypocreales. RNAcentral describes it as "sequence contains ITS1". The stretch from base 1 to 105 matches the Rfam family "5.8S ribosomal RNA", at positions 50 to 154 of the family's 154-position model. The record is from RNAcentral. Lineage: Eukaryota; Fungi; Ascomycota; Sordariomycetes; Hypocreales.